Molecule: long non-coding RNA, 18280 nt
Filed under: Coffea arabica (coffee)
Lineage: Eukaryota; Viridiplantae; Streptophyta; Magnoliopsida; Gentianales; Rubiaceae
Description: long non-coding RNA (CARA_LNC002076)
Source: RNAcentral
UCGAAGCAAAAUUUACAUCAUGCAACAAAGCUGGCCGAAAUCUCCUUCUUGACAAAUGCAUAUUUCAGCUCCUGGCAAUAAUGGUGAACAACCAUGUUACUGGAAUUUGCAGGAAGUGUUCCAGCAUUCUGAGAUUUCGACAGAACACAAUAGCAGGAUGGCACGGUAGGAUAGAUAAAGAGUUUUUCAUGUAACUCGAAAUGUCGUUGCAGUUAUGCAGAAUCGAUGAAUUUUUUUUUUCUUUCUCUCAAAUUAGUUCCACUCACUCUUCAGCAAGGCAUUAAGCCAUCAACCGAACAAGGAUUCAUCAUGCGCUACACGGGUGGUCUUUCUCAUGAUCUCAUCAUCCCAUGAAUAAUUCAGCAUGUGGGAUGGAGAAUCUUGAAUGGGCAGCUCAGUUCUGAAUUUUUCUCAGGGAGCCAGCACUAGUCCAGCCCAGUCUUGAGUUAUCGACGAGUGGGCUGAUUUUGAGAACAAUCGAAAAAUUCAAAGCACAGAAAAAGGAAAAAAAGGAAAAAUGUUAUAUGCUCACACAUUUCAGAAUUCUUUUAUGCUCGCUCUCUGUAGUUGACUUCAGAUACAAUGAAACUGGGGAUGGGCAGCAAUGUGCAGAUAUCACAUAGGGGCGCGCGGAUAUUAUUUUUUUUAAAAAAUAAAUAAAGAUUUCCGGUCAGAAUUGGGUCAGCAAUUCAGAAUAAGGAGCAUAUGAGGUAUUUCUGCCUAAAUAGUUUGGGGUUCAAAUUGAAAUCCACCCUUGGACAUUUUGUCGAAAGUAUUCUGCCUAAAUAGUGAAAUAGGAAACAUAUAAUAUCUUUAUUGAAAAUUAACAUCUGUGAUAUUGAGGGCCUUGAAAAAAUACCAUACUUAAAUUUUCUAACAAGAAAGUUUACUUUUUUAGGUGAUUUACAUGUCUCAAAUGUGAAAACAUAGAUGACAUAAACAAUUUUUACAUCCUUAACGUUGCCAACAAUUUAAGUAUUGGACAAGGGCAACUACACUCCCAAGAUUUUGGAAAAUAUAAUUUUUUUUCCUCUAGAGUAUAGGUAUCUUUAGUGAGGUCAUUCCCAAAAAAUAUACAUAUGUACAAUUGUGCAGACAUGAAACUAUUAUGGGUCUAUUUAUCUAUUUUGUAAAUAAUUGAGGCCAAAUCGUAAAAUAAUAAACACAUGGUGAGUAAUGUAAUUCAGACGACAGAGGGUAAAAACGUAAAAUCUCGGCCUAGAAAAUGGUCAAAGUUAGAAAUUGGAAAAACUAUUUAGCGCGAAGUUGAAAAUCAUUAGUAAAAUGGAGGCUUCUUUUCAAGAAAUUUAGCACGAUGCCUCGCGACGAGAGUUGUAACCGAGUCAAGUCAAACUCGAAAAAGGAUACUUGAACUAGAGCAAAUAGUAUUAUUGAAACUCGAGGUUGAACUCAAUGAUUGCUCAUAGAACUCGAGCCUUCUCAAGUUCGAGUCAGAAAUAUUUAUUUUCCUUGACAAUUUUUGAGCAAAAAAAUAUUAUUGUCCUUUAAAAAUUUUAUACGACUUGAAACAUUUCAUAAAUUCAACCAUUUUUUUUGAUAUAAGAAUUUCGUAGUAAUAAUAAUAUAUUAAAGAAUUAAAAUUAAAAAACUCGAUAAGAUUUCGACGAGCUUUGAGCAUUGUAUCUGAAACUCGAAUUCGACUCACAUUCAAUUAAUUCGAAUUCGACACUUUCAAGGCAUUUUACAACUCAACUGCUAACUCUCGCGCGCGAGCUACACUCGACUCCCCUAACUUUUUAAUUCCAGUUCCAGGUGUGAAGAAGAGUGAACUCAAACAGUCCUUUGACUAUUCAUGUCCGUCAUCAUCAUCGUAAUCUCCCUACAUUUAUUAUUUAUCAAUCCCAAACCAAAGAAAUUUGCCAUUUUUGGUCUGACCCUCUUCUCUCAAGGUAAUCUCACUCUCAAUCUUCAUCUUGAUUCCACAAAGUUCAUUUUUUUCCCACUUUUCUUGGAUUGAAAUUGGUUAAUUUAUCGUCAUGGGAUUAAAGGGAUUUCUACUCUUACGUCGCUGCUUACGUACAUACUAUUUCGUUUGUAUAAAAUGAUGGUUUUGGAAUUUCUUACGCCAGUUUAUAGUAAAGUUGCCUUUUCUUCUAUUAAGUACCUAAUGAUAGAUAGCCGCUGACAUUGUUAAGCUCUUGGACUAUUCAAAGUUUUGCCCUUUUAAUGUUUAGUAAUUUUCUACCGACUUUUGCUUACAUGCUUAUCACAUUCUUGUUUGUAUACUAAAUUUUGUGCGUGUGCGUGUGCGCCUGGAUUUCUGGGUGGCUUUUUGUUUUUGUUUUGUUCUUGCUUGGCAGGAUUAAUAAGGUGAAAUUUGAAGGCCCUUUAAGGUUUAUUGAGCUUAAUUUUGGAAAGGAGGGUGAAAUAGGUAUAGGAAGCAGCUAAUUGUUAGAGCCUGCAUACUAAAAGAAGGGAGGCAAAGGUUGUUUAGAAAAUGACUUGGACUAGAAAGCGUUUGGAUGGUUGUGAUAGAGGAAAUGGAGCUGAGGGAUCAUCUGGUAGUCAGAGGAUCAGUGAAGAAAAUAGUUAUCUUAAUCAUGAGAUAGCGCUACUCACAAAAUAUACGUCAACUGCGCAUGAACGUUUCAGAAAAGUGGUACCGGGUAAGGCAAGGUUGCCCGUUUCACCUGUGCAAAUGUUGGUGGGAAGGGAAGGGAAUUAUUCUGGGAGAGGGAGAUUCUCAUCAGGAGACUGUUGUCAUGUUUUGAGUCGGUAUAUGCCUAUUUAUGGUCCUUCAGUGGUUGAUCGAAUGCCAAGUGGUGCAUAUGUUUCACAAUUUUCAGAAGAUGGUUCUCUGUUUGUUGCUGCAUUUCAGGUAUUGAUGACAUUUGUUCUGUUGAAAGUUGAUUGGUCGAGGAAGAUUUAGAAAGGGCCUUUUCCUUAUUGGUAUUCAUUGAUUUGGCUAAUGGGAUUUUUUCUUUUCCUGAACAGGAAAGUCAGAUUAAAAUAUAUAAUGUUGACAAGGGAUGGAGACUGCAGAAGGACAUUAGAGCUAGAAGCUUGCGAUGGACAAUCACUGAUACAUCCCUAUCCCCAGAUCGUCGUUUUCUUGUAAGUUUUCGGAAUUGCAUUCAGAUUGAGCAUGGGUAGUUCGUUGAUAUCAGGAUUGGAAGUAAAGUACUAAAGGCUUGGAAAAGUAGGAGUGAUUUUUUGUAAGGAGCACCAACGUUUUGCCACCAACUGUUAAUAGGACUGUGAAAAGUUCAAUGCUUUUGUCUUGACAAGUGUAUAUUUGCAAUUAUAUGGGCAUAUUGUUAAUCCCACAAAGUCAUUUCCUUUAUGUAAUGGGAAGGGUUGCUUUAUAUCUCACACUGAAUUUUCCUACAAAUUGCGCAUUUUUCUCUUGGGUGUAGUAAUUUUAGUCAUUUAAGUUGUUUUCAGAACACAUCCAUUGCUUUAUAUUUAGUAAGCAAAAAUAGACAUUUUUGAAAGAUCUUAUUAGUGGCUUGCAACUUAUGUAUCCUUUUUGUGUGUUGGUUUGGCAUUUCGUUUGGUAAUUAACAUCAUUGGUAAACUGCCACUUCAAAUUCUCUUUUCUAUUCUCUGAUAAGGUUUUAGUUCAUUUGACAGGCUUACUCAAGUAUAUCUCCCAUAGUUCAUAUUGUUGAUGUUGGAUCUGCUGCAACAGAAUCUCUUGCAAAUGUUACGGUAUGUUUUGAAAUUCUACUAUUAUUAAUUUCAGAAACAAACUGGAAAGAAAAAAUCUUUAUUUUGGAGCACGAAUCUUUUAGUUGCUUAUGAUUUAUAUCUAUUUGGAAUAUCUUUUGUCUCGUCUAUAGUUGUGCAUCUACCUCAUACCUUAUGGACUGUCCUUUGAGAGAAUGGGAAGUAUGGUAAUUUUCAGUUUGAAUUUCUUAGAAGGAAACUUUUUCAACUGGAUCCAAAAUUUAGAAAUUAAGGUAUUUAAAUAUUAUUUGUAGUCGCAUAGGUAUAACUUGUCUGCAUUUAUUUAGUUGGAAAGUUAGAUUAUCAGGCUUUUCCACAAGACUAGUGAGGAGUGGAGCCAACUAAAGCUCUAAUUGUUUAUCAAAGCCUCUUACCUUCAUACAUCUGCUGGGAUAUUGGAGGCUUGAAGACCCUAAUUAAGCGUAUGGGAUGCAAUAGAUACACUUCCUAAUGAGUUCCUUCUUGCUGCUUCCUUUUUGCAGGAAAUUCACGAGGGAUUGGAAUUUUCUUCAGAUGCUUCAGACUAUGAUGAGUAUUCUUUUGGAAUUUUCUCCGUGAAAUUCUCAACAGAUGGCAGAGAACUUGUGGCUGCUAGUAGUAAUAAUUCCAUUUAUGUUUAUGAUCUCAAAGCAAAAAGGCUGAGCCUCUGCAUUCCAGCUCAUGAGGUAUUAGACCUUGUAAUUUUAGUAAGUUAAUAUAUUAGAGGUGCAAUUUGCUCCAAGUCCCAAUGGGUUACCCAUGUCCAUUUGAGACUUUGGGCGGGAUGGGUAUUAGAAUUUGAUAUUUGGGUUUAAAAUGGGACAAAUCCCAAUUGUACCCCAUUAUAAUGAUGGAAAAUUUUGGAAAAUGCUUGGGUACCCAUUGGGCUCAAAUAGCAAGGGCUCCGUUUGGAUUAAUUAUAUUUGGCGGGGGUGUUUUUGAAAUAUUUUAUUGUAGUAGUGUAUGUGAAAAAAUUUUUACUAUAAAAUUUUUUUGAAAUAUUUGAUAUACUAAUAUGGAUUGGAUGUUUUUUUGAGUUAUUGUAUAUUAUCUGUAAUUGUAUUUGAAAAACUUAUUUUUUUGAAAAAAUAGCCAAUCCAAACGGAGUCUUAGAUUCAAAAAAUUAUCUUUAACAAUUUUUAUAGUCAUGAUUGUAUAUCUAUCUUUUCCUUUAUUUGUUAAUCCAAUUUUUGGUGAUAAUCCUGAGUAUAAAAAGCACUUGCAUGUUUAUUUAAUAAAACUAAAAGAAAUUUAAUAAAUCAAAAAUAUAUAUAAAAAAUAAAUUAAAGGAAAAAAAUAUGUAGAAAAUAGAUUUGGGUAUUGGCGCGGGAUCAAUCUAAACCAUCCCAAAGUGAUCCCGCCCAAGUUAGUUCCAAAACACAUAUGGGUAAGGUUGGGCCCAAACCCAUAUAACUCGGUUCCAUUUUAAACCCAAGCAAAUCCCGCCCAUCCCGCCCAUUUUGCCACCUCUAGUUAAUAUAUCUGCUUCCAGUGGUGGAUUCCGCAGGAUAUAAUUUGACAGUGGUGUUCGAGAUAUAGAUUUUUUAAUAGUAUUAUCUGGAAGUAAGCAGAGCUUUUUCUCAUUCUGUCAACUCUUAGGGCAUGAGAUUCAGUGCCUUCUCUGGUCCAAGUGUUGCAAACCUGUGCCUUUUUGUUGAGUAAGGUUGAUAACAAAGUGUCCUUUUUUUUCCCUUUUUUUUUUGGGGGGGGGGGACCAAUCUUGAUUUUCCAAACAGUGUUUAACAUUUCCUUGUCAUUCUUUUUCUUUUUGUUAUCUCUUCCUAUUAGUUUUUCCAUUGGGGUUGGGCAGGGGGAGGGGGGGUGGACACGGUUCAAUUAUGGACACUGGAAAAGGUAACGCCCAAGAUAUUUAUGGAUAUCUGCCUUAUUUCUGUCAAAUGGUAGCUCAAAAUUUUCCUAAUCUUUUCUCUGUUGAAGAAAAGCUGCUUACACUGCUAUAUUGCAGUUUAUGGCAGUCAAGAGGCCCUUUAGAGGUCCAUAUAGGAGGGAUGUUCAUACGUGUGAGUGUUACUUUGCGUAUUUCUUGUGAUAAGGUUUAGUUUGUUUGUUCCAUAUGCAUAGAUGAAUUGAGCUAAGGACAGAGUAACCUUGCUCGUUUUGGCUUCUUCAAUUUUCAGUCCCGUAUGUAUUCCCAGAUUGUUCUUGUGCUUUAUACGUUAGGAGUAACCAAAAUGUAUUUGGAGUCCUUGAAUUGUAUUCACUUAGCUGUUUAAUACAAGGAUUAUCCCAAAAUUGGUUUAGAGUGAAACUCCAUUAGCUUAUAUGUAUGGAUUAUUGUGGGCAUCUGAUCAUACAAAGACAUGAGUAUAUUUCUUUAUUCUUGUCAUUGCAGUCUGAUGUGAACGCUGUGUGCUUUGCUGAUGAGACUGGUCACCUGAUAUAUUCUGGGAGUGACGAUUGCCUCUGUAAGGUAACUUUCUUUCAAAGCAUUUAUAAGGUGUAAACAUGCAAAAUGCUUGCAGCUUUUCUGCCCUGCUGUUACUAUUAUUUGACAGGAUGAGAAAGCUGAAUUGUCUCAUUUAACAUGGGAACUGUUAGUAGAUGUUGUGAUUGCUACUUUUUGGGCAAUGCUUUUGCAUCAUUAGAAUAGAUUUACAUAUUCAUAUUUGGAAGAGAUGCACGACAUACCAUAUUCAAUGUUUCAGCUUGACUAAGCCAAAAAUUUUGGCAAAAUGGGAAUUUUCUUUUGAUAUAUAAAAUUUUAUAAUGAGUUCAGGUUUGGGACCGUCGUUGCUUUGCCACAAAAGGGAAACCAGCUGGAGUCCUUAUUGGACAUCUGGAAGGAAUUACUUUCAUUGAUACUCGUGGAGAUGGCCGUUACUUGAUCUCAAAUGGAAAAGAUCAGGUCAUCAAGCUUUGGGAUAUUCGCAAGAUGUCUUCAAAUGCUGAUUAGUAUGUGCAUUCUUCCACGUUCACUAAUAUCAUAAAAAAUUCGAGUCUUGUCUUUGAUUUUAGUCUCUGUGUUUGGAAUGGUUUUAAUGGCCGUAUGUUUCAUCCAGUUGUUGGCUUUCUUCUCCUCUUCUCAUUUAUGGGUUUGUCAAAUGACUAUUGCAUGGGCCAGAAGAUAUGUUCUUUUAUUAAGGUCAAAAUGUAUAAGAGUUCAAUGCUCAUAUGUUUCCAACUUUGAUUGCAGCGUACAAUGGCGUAGAGAUUAUGAUUGGGAUUACAGAUGGAUGGAUUAUCCAGAGCGUGCAAAAAAUUUGAGGAAUCCAAACGACCUAUCAUUGACUACCUAUAAAGGCCAUACAGUUUUGCGGACUCUCAUACGCUGUUAUUUCUCUCCAGCUCAUAGGUAAAUGGCUCAUACGCUGUCUGCAUCUACCUGUAAAAGGAACUUCUAUGGGAAGGGCACUCCAUGAGGGCGUAAUUUCACUUCUGCCUAACAUUUCUAAGGGAAAGAAAAUUGUUGAGACAAAAACUAAAUCCUUUCUUUGUCCUCUUAACUGUGUUAUUAAUUAUCAUUUUAAUCUUGGCACCAGAGUUAGAAUUUCUUCUAUAUUAGUUUUGACUAGUGCACUUUUGAGUUUUAGGCCAUAUACGUUUUAGCUUUUGAAACGAAGAUCUUGAUGUCCACCUUCCCCCGCUCUGCUUUCUCCUCCUUUUGUUUUCCCUGUUAUUACUGUCAAAGUCAAUUGAAUCUUUUGUCACUUCAGCUUAGAAGUUUCAAACUUGUCUCAUAACCAAUUGUCGUUUGAGCAUCAAUCUCUUGCGAUGUCGGAGUUGGGAGGCUCUGUUAUGUCCUGGGCAAUUAGAAUGAUCUAAGUUCCCAUGCAUGGGUGUGGUGUUAUAAUUAAAUUGAGGGACAGACUGCGUGGAACUAUUUUGUCAAUUCUUGGUUAAUGAAACUGCUGGACCUUUUUCCUAAGAACGACAUACGGGAUGUUCUUUUUUACAUAUGUGACUUCUCAGUGGCAAACUGAUUGAAUAUCCAAAGUGAAUUUUUGCAGCACGGGGCAAAAGUAUAUCUACACUGGAUCUACAGAUUCUGUCGUAUAUAUUUAUGAUUUGGUACGUCUUCAUUCUCAUUUGAUGCUGUCUUACUGGAUCUUUUUGGUUCACCUUCUUUGUUUUCCUCCUAUAUGCAUGAGCUGGGAAGAUGACCGUCUUGGUCCUGUUCUGUAGGUGAGUGGAGCUCAAGUUGCAAAACUUGAUUUCCAUGAAGGGCCUGUAAGAGACUGCAAUUGGCACCCCUAUUACCCUAUGAUUGUCAGUUCUUCAUGGGAUGGAGUUCUUGCCAAUUGGGAGUUCCCUGGCAAUGGUGAAAUUUCUGUGCCUACAAGGCGAAACAGAAGAAGACGGCGGGCUCUAUACUGAACAGCAUUUCCGGUCUUGGAAAAUAUGACUAUACUUGUCAAUUACUAGCAUGUAUCGGAAAUUUUGUGCGGAAAGUUGAGUUAUCAAAUUAGCAUACAUCUCAAAUUUUGAUAUUGAUGCCGAUGGCUGUAUAUAUAUAUAUAUAGUUUCCUUGAGACGGAAUUCUUUUGACAUGAACAAUAGGAAAUACAAUGGUCAUAAAUUGUUUUCCUUUUCUUUUCAUUUUGGACAAGGCAUGGCCUUGAGACGGAUGGUAAUUAGUACUUGCUUGUUUUGAGCAACUUACUCCAUAACUUCCUAAUCACAAACCAUACCUAUUAUUAACAGCAACAAAAACAAAAUCAAGAAUGGUAAUCUAUCUAUCUAAUUAGCUGAUAUCCACCCCGGCUAUUCUUUUGAUUGUUACACGAACAAGCUCUUACAAGAACAAACUCAGAUUAGCUUUGUCAUGGUUUGACUCUUACCUCUUUGCAAUAUUCAAGUAAGAGAGCUUGAAGUACAUUUAUCAAUGCGGCAGAGAUGCAGUUUCAUACCAAGUAAGCUAGCUCAUAAAUUCAUUUAAUAUCAUGGAAAAUUUUGUUUUUUUUUUUUGAGAGUAUUUGUUUGGAUGGGCCCUUAUUUGCCAAAAAUGCUUUUGAUUGCAUUUUUAAAAAAUUACCUUCUUAUUUCGUGUAUGUUGUGUCACAAAAAAAAAAAGUGAUAGUAUUAUUUUUUAAAAAAAAUUUUCAAAUAAUCUUUAAUCAAAACACAUUUGUGCCACAUGAUAAAAAUGCACUUAUGCAACUAAUAAUUUGUCUCAUGUUAUCGUUUGGACAAAAAAAAAACUAAUAAUUUGUCAAAACGAAUUAGAAACUAUUAAAAAAUAUAAAUAGAUCUAAAGUUCUUGAUAUUAAAAGUGGAAGAAAAUUCAUUAAUAGAUAACAACUAAUCAAAUAAAUAUUACCCUGUCCGGUCUUAACAUAAACACAUAUGAAAUGAAAGAAUUCUCCUUCUUAAAAUCCCCACUUUUCACACACUCAAACACCCUAAGAAACACGUACUGAACGCACGGAAUGGCAUCAGCAAGAGCAAGGCUCAUUUUUCGCCUGGUGUUGGUCACACUACUUCUUCUCCUGCUCUUCUACGUGGGUCGUCCUCUUUACUGGAAAAUAUCUGCUACCGUUCAUGAUAUCAGAGCUAAGAAGCAGACUGUCUCCGGAGGUUCCUUCUUUCUUUACGUUAAAUCUCCCCUUUUUCCUGUAGCCAUUUGAUUGUCAUCUGCAAUUUGAGCUAUUUAUGCGUCUUUUUUUUUUAUAUAUGGGUUUUAUGGUUUGUUUAUGUAGAAUAUGUUUUCAUCUACUGCCUGCAAUGAGUGCAUUUUGAAAUGGAGUUUAAGAAAAUUUAGUUCUUUUUUUUGUAGUUUUCUAUUGGGUCAGCAAAAAUCUGUGCUUUUGAUUACUGUACAAUUUGGAAAUCUGCAGGAUUGAAUUCAUGUAUAUUUGUUUAUAAAAUUUGUGCAUAUUGAGGUAGAGUAUGUCUUCAUCUGCUAUCUCUCAUUAGUGCAUUCUGGAAGGGGGUCUAAGAAAUAUUUAUUCUUUUUUAUUUGGGUGAGGUGAUUUGGGCUUUUUAACAUAGAGCAAUCUGAGAAUCUCGAGAAUAUUGGGGUACAUGUAUUUUUUACAUAUAAUUUGUGAAUUUUAAUGCGAUUUCGGUGAAUCUCUGCCUUUUUUUUGGCCGGACAAUCUAGGCAUAGCCUGAAUCUGUUCAAUUGUUUCUAUUGGUAUAAUGCUGAGCUAUUAUGCUAAUGAAAUUUUUAUAGGUUUUGGUACAUUUAUGAGGCGGGAUUGGGAAAAUUCAGUCUUUUGUUUUCGGGUAAUGUAGGAAUUUCUCAAUUUGUAUACGAGGCACAGAGAUCAGUGGGGUGGCUUCAUGGUAAGUCUGACUCCGGAAGGCCUGAUGGGAAAUCAGCAACUGCAAGAAGGCUUCUUGAUCUUUGUCAGGUUUCAUGAAAGCUGCCAGCUUUUUAGUAAAUCAUAGUGCACUAGUCAUGGUAUAGACGUAUGUAAAACUAGUAAAUUGAUGAGCAUUUUGUGAUGUUAUAUAUGGCAAUGCAGCAGUUGAGGUUUCUGUAGAUUCAAAUCUGUUGGAUUUGUUAGUAAUAGGAAUUUUGACUGUGCAUCAUAUAUCUACAAUUGAGGUUCACACUGCUGAAGAUGUUUAGGAGAAAUGGUCAUCAACUGAUGAUUGUGUCUAAUCUCCAUGUGGAUACUAGUAAAUUAAAGAUUUCAAUUAAGAAGCUUUCUCAUUUAUGCAGUGCUAGAUGGGUUCUAUUAGGUGCUUUUCUUUUCAUAUUUCUUCUCUUUCCUUUGUAAAUUUGUUCCAUUAAAUGUUUGACAUUUUUAUGCUUGCUGAGUUGAAAUUAGCGCUGUGAUUGUUUCCUCAUGAUUUUUGGUUUACACAGAAUGCUUAAAGCUUCAUGCAAGGUACAGCUUACAAUGCUUACUGAAGGGUUUUCUACCUUUAGAGUUAGUGAUUGGAUAAAUGAUCCGGAUGCAACAAAAAGGGAACUAAAAACUCUGUUUUGUUUAGUGCAUACAUUAAUGGUUCUCCAAAUAACCAACAGCAGAAAGACCGGUGACAUCUGAUGGCCUUGUUCUCUUGUGAUGGAAACUCACGUCCAACUAAAUUAUGACAAAACCCGAUGUAGCUGGGUGAUUUUUGUUUUAUGUUGUUUCUCAACUGCUAUAAUCUGUUUAAUGGAUUGUGGAAAUCCGGAAGUGGUAAAAAUACAUUUGGGCGGCAUUAGGAACAAUAACUACUGAUGCAAGCAGAAGACACGCUGCGUCAAAUGCAUAUGGUUCAUCAAGCCAAAAGGUCGUCUUAUUGUUUGCAUUCACCCUUAAAUGCCUAUUAUUCUCAACGAGCGCUCUACAGGUUUAAUCCCGAUUGGGACGAUCUGAAACAAAUCGUGCAAAAAUAUCGGAAACUGAGAAUUGUUUUGCAAUCCCCUUCGAGCUAAACUCCUGAAUCUUUCAACAUUUUUGUGUUAUUAUGUUUUCCUGCAAUGGACUGACAUUAAUGCCUCUAGUUAUCUCUUUCUUUUUCUGUUUUAGUCAACAUAAGAAAAUUUUUUUUCUCUUUCUAUGUUAAGUAGUUUGCAAAAAACCAUACUUUGAAGACUAGAAUACUAUGUUAUGACGUCUUUCUCAUUUUUGGAUGUUCUAGCAUCUGUAAAUUAUGAAGUCCUCAUGCUAUUUAUAACUGGUUGAUUGGAUCAAACAUCUGCUUUAACCCACUUGCAAAAUGCUAUUUUACAAAUUUAAGCAACACUAAAGUUUCUCAUAAGAUGUCCUGCAGCCUAGGGGCAUUAAGUUUCUUAUGACAACUCAAAAUCAGAGUUGAUACUUUGUGUAGAAUUUCAAUAUCCAUUGGCUAUAUAUUAUAGUAGUUAAUAGGCACUAUCAAUACUCUGCUGUGUUUUAGCAAUCCCUCAGUAGUAGGAGUUUGCUAGUGCCUGGCUGGCUGGAUUUAGCAGGUGUAUGCCCUAUCAGGUACCUGCCUUUAAAUUCAGUUGGAUGGGCAAAGCUUUUCUGUGACCUAUCAAAACCUGGCUCUUUGCAGAAUAUCAGCUAUUUUCAGAAGUUUGGCUGUGGUGUGCAUGGUAAUUUGUAUAUUAUUUUCUUUUUCUUUUUUCAGCUAAAUAAUCUUCAAAACCCUCGCAAUUCUGUAUAGCCAGUAUGGAAUAAAGUUUUCCAAAUGGUAUCAGUUCUUAAUCUACUUAUUCAGUAAAUUCUUACAGGAGCACAUGGUAGUAAUUUAAUGACAAUUACAAUGACAGCAAAGAUAAGAACGAAAAUAGCACACCAUUUGCUGGUUUUACUUUUUUUCUUCAUCUGGAGGUGAAAAUACUUGUAUCCUGCAUGAGUUGCCCUCAGAAUGUUGACUCCUGUUGCAGUUGACCACUCAUAUUUCAAAUGACAAGACUUCAGGAUGAAGAGUACUGCUCAGAGAUAAAUAGCUGCAACUGAGUAAACUUGGGGAUACCCGUUUAGAUAUAGCUUCAUGACCUAAAUACAAACUUGACCCACAUAUUAUUUCCUGGGUCGUAACUUAGAGAAAAGUUUCUAUUGUUAUGGGUCGGGGGAUGGGCUCUGAUCUAUAGAUACCAAAAGAGAAGGAAGUAUUUGCAUUCAUGACUUCUAUGUGUACCUGGAUAAUAAGGAUUCAUUGUGAGGGCUUUCAUUUGUACAGAUUUUGUGACUGGGUAAAUCAUACUGACCUGCAUUAAGGUUUUACCAUAAUUAAAAGGAUCCAUCUUGUUUGUCAUGCGUAUAUUUGCUUUUAUUCCCAUAACAACUGAAUAUGCAGUGCAAAAAUGUUUUUGAUUUCAAGUGACACAACUUGUGUGUCAGCAACGUACUCUGCUUGAGUGUCAAGACCAAUGUUCAAACGAUUUGGUUGAAUAAUUUGUUGCCCUAUCACCAUUGACAUAAUGGUCAAGAUAUAGAUAUUGUAGUAAUUAUUUAAGAUGUAUUGCAGGUCUUAGCCAUUGGCUUUAUGGGGCUGAAUUAGAUUAUAUAACUAUAUUUCCUUGAGCUAUGUUGGGGGAUUUGGCCAUUGUCCAACAUUGCUCCUUGUUAGUUGCCUGUGAUGUUGAAAGGCCAGAUUUCUGUGGUGGGAGUGAGGCUUUAGUAAUGGUUAAGUCCUCGUCAGAAUGGUGUUUUUUAGUUGUGCAAACCUCAUUAUGGCUUAGAUCAUUCAUUUGAUAGUUAGUAAUGGUAUGUCUAUGUUACAACCCUGCAGUUACAUCUUCAGUAGUUUGAAACACUUGGGAUGGGGCAUGAUCUUGCUCCAGAAAGAGCUUAUACACGAUGUUAUUUCAGGAAUUGAAAGCUAUAAUGGAUGUCAAUUUACCUUUCAGGUUUUCCAUCCAAUGGUGAGGCAACUUUUAUCUCAUAUAAAGAGUAAGUCAAGAACAACAAUGUCUUUCCUUUUCAUUUGACUUGUUCUAAGCAUAGCCAUAGGAAAUCGGACAGUUCUUGUCUAGGUCAUGCCGUUAGCUUAUGGGCAUACAAACAUGAGCUGAGUUCAUACUUGUGAUGUUUCAGUUAUGACCAUUAGCUAUAUUCCUAAAAGCCCUCUGAAAAUCAUUGUCAACCAGAAACUAUGUGAGGAUUGCUUAUGAUCAACUCAUGGUCAUCACUACUUCAUCACACACAAAAAGAAAUUAGUCAAGAUAUGAUGGGUAGAUUCGCUGACAUUUCUAGUGCUUUUUAGAAGUCAGUGCUAAUUUUUUAUAUGGAAGCACCAACUUUUCUGUCACUUUCAACCAUAUUUAUUGUAUGCAUCCAUUAACCCUUUUGCCUAUAUGUUGUCAUAUAUUUAUCUUGGAACCCUAUCUUUCUGACAAGGGAUAUGCACGGCCAUGAAUUUUAUGAACAGAUUUUUGUGGUUUAAGGGUGGCAAAGACUUCAGAUCCAUCAUUCUCCCUCCUCUUCUCACGCCGCCCUCCUUAUCUAUUAGAAAAGAGUUGAUUGUUUGGCUUGAAUUUCAUCACUAUGCUUAAUUAUCAUUGGGUAUAGGAAUCAGAAUUUUCCAUAAUAGGUCAGUUUCAAAUGUGCAAUAGGGCGUCUUUGCAUAAGAACGAGGAGAAAGUAGCAGAUAGAGUUAGCAUAUUCGUUUGCUUUUAUUAUGUGUUUACAUACCCAAUGAUGAAGGAAAGGUUGAGAUUUGACUAAUGUUAAGCAUUUGUAUUAGUGGUGGAAAGGAAGGUACCUUUCUUAGUGCCCAGCAAAACUUGAGAAGACUUGCUUCUAUAGCGUUCUCUACAUGAUUCCUUGUGACAAAAAACACUUCGAACCCCUUGUUCUUGAGCAUGCAUUUUGACUCUCCACCAUUCGGGAAAGAAAUGGUGCGGGCCUCAAACUCCAUUUCAUAAAGCUAAAAGCUUAUUCAGUGGAUUGGAUUAAGAUAAUCAACAUGCUCAAUGAACUCUCUGCUCCCCAAUAUUUGUUAAGAAACUAUAUAAUAAGUUGACCUUUUCUGCUUCUGUAAACAUCUUCUCCACCCUUUUGUCAAAGCAAAUCGUGGGGGAAUCACACAGAAAGUCGGUACUUUUUUGAAAAUUUGUGUAUGAUUCUUUGGGCCAAGCAUCUUCUUUAGUAUAAUAAUUUGAGGAAAUGUAAUGGUGUCCUGUAUAUUAGCUUAGUUGGUUAUGCUUUUGAGCUACUAUAGCUAGAGCUAGGCAGGUGCAGUUUACAGCAGGAAAGAUACAUUUAACAAAGAACUCUGCAGUUCCUUUCUGGUAAACACCAAGAUUCUGAUAAACAUAACAGAUGAAAGAAAACAAAAAUUAAUUAAGGGGGAAUAUUGUACUCAGGAGUCUUAUAUUUUAAUGUGUGUACUUUCUGAUCAUCAUUCAUAAAUUAGAUGGGCAGAACUCCCAAUCAACUGCUGGAAUUAGAGAUUGCGUUCUCCUAUUUAAAUACAAUCGAAAUCCCACAAGUAGCCUACUGUUGCUGUUCUCUACUAAUUUGCUGCCUAAAGCUAACAAUUGCAGGAUAAGGAAAUGUUUGCCAUCAUAGUUGUUUUUCUAAUUUCAGUGAAAAAGUAUUUCUCAGAAUCAAAGAGACAUUGGAGGCUGAUUAGUGAUGGCUCUGCCGAGCAAUAGAUGUUGUAUUGUUUAACACCAUAUGAUGUGAAGACACUUCUGAUACUUGGUUGUGCUUAAACUGAGUAUUCAUGAUUCCACAGUCAUUACUCUAGUCCUGAGGCGGCUCAUCUCAUCAUAUUACGCAGUAAGGAACCCAAAGGACGAGCGGUUUCUAUAGGAGCUGAUAAUGAGAUAAUGGUACCUAGCUAAUGAUAAGGGAAGGAAAAUUAAGGCAGAAUCUUGUGCUUUCGGAGCCUUAAGUUAUGAAUUGUGUACUUUCUAGUCAUCAAUCAAGAAGAGAACUCCCCCUCAGCCGUGAAAUUAAAGAUUGCACCUCAUGCUAAAAGAAUUUUCCUCCCCACGCCUAAUCCCACUUGCGUUGUUCUAUAUAUUGAAGCCAAAGUCUAGCUAUUGCAUAAUGAUUGUGCCAUUCCUUUAAGUUGUACCAUUCCAAGCCUAAGCCUAAGCCUAAGAGGUUUGAACACCUUUUCUAAGAGGAAGUUUAGGUUCAAACUUUCUUGCGACUGCCCCUCUUUGUUACAAAUGCUGGCGUCCUCCUUAUGUGUCGUAGGCAAUUUGUAAACAUCCCGUAAAACCUGACUCCCUAAGCCUUUGGCCUGUCAUGAUCUCUCAUUAUCCUAAACUUUUUCCGACCUCAAGAAUUAUGGAUAUUCAGAAUUCCGCAUUCAUAUUGUAAACUAGUCUUGAGGCGGCUCAAUGCCCUUCUUAUUCAAAACAGUGUCAGAUUCUUCCCCAAGGGUUGACAAUGAAAUGUGGUGUGAAAAUUAAUAUGGUACCAUACCAUCAAAGUAUCCUUAAUACUGGGCAUAUGUAGGAUCUACUUAUUAUGCCUCAUUCAAUCCGAUGGUUGGCAGGAAACGUCUACAUUAUGCUGAGUUACGUAAAGAAAAGGAAGCAGCAGUGGACCAACCAAAGAGCCAACCAAUUAAAGCUAGAAUGAGUUCUGGCACUUCUUACCUGUAAUUUUCCACGUGUUCUUGAUUAGGAGAAAGCAAAGUCAAACGAAAGAGUUGUGGGGUUUCGUUUCAUGAUUCUGAUGUCAUUUUUCUCGCACUGUUUUGCAUGUUUGCUGCUGCAAGGCAGGAGCAAGACAGGAGGAGCCAUUUUCAUUCAUGACCUUUCUUGAUUGGGUUUUCCACCUCUUUUUUAUUUCAUCUCCUUACUCCAUAUCUAUCUCCAUUCUUCUCACGGGAUCUUUGGCGUGUCAGCAGCACUUGGAGUGGAGCAUUUCAUUUUCAUGGCCGACCAUACAACACACUGAAUUUUCCUAGACGAAGGGUGCUCCAAACUGAGAAGCAAGAACUUCAGAAACGACUUGCCUUCUGAAGUUUCUUACAGUUUCACCCAUCUUUUCUCUAAUUUCGAAUUACGCUAACCUCCCUUAAAUUUGUUGUAUGGGACAUGAAAUUCUUAAAUUACUCUUCUUGUCAAACAAAAAAUAAAAAAUAAAACUUGGUCCAUUGCUCAUGUAUUAUUACUCAUUCCAAGAACUCGUACUAUUUUUUGGGUCUCUAAGGGUUAGUUCGAGCGAUCAGCUCUCCCUCUUUAGGAUAUGGUAGACUUAUCUGGAUAACCAAAGUUCGGGCCCCCUUGUUACCGUGCUCGGAGUGGAGUGGGGCUUCCUCUCCCGGGCCGGAGUGGAAUUAGUCCGAUCAAAGGCCCGAUACCCACUCCGUCAGAAAAAAAAAAAAAAAAAAACUAUUUUUGGCACUUUAGGUAUACAAAUAUAUCAUCCUCCUCCAUCACUAAAUAUGGAUUGAUGCAGCUAAGAACUCAGCAACUAUUGAAUCAAGUGACGACCAAAUGAACAAAAAGUUUAUGUCCCUUUUUUAUCCACAAUAUGCAUGGGCAUACCUGUCGGUCAGGGACAACAUCUGAUGUAAAUUAAAGGAUGUCUUAGUAGUAUCCUAAUCAGAUAAGAGACAAGAAUUCCAGCAACGUCUAAUCAUUGGAUUAGAAAUCAGAUGCCCUCCUGAUCACAUCUAACCAACGAAAUGAACCCCUCUUUAUUCAUUGAUUCUAAACUCAAACAGCGUUGCAAUUAACUUUGCGUUGCUUCUUUCUCCUGUUCUGAUCUUAAUCAUGCCGAAUAAAAAAAGAAAAAAAAAAUCUUUCUCAGGCCCUCUUUGCCGGGUAUGUUUUCUAAGCGUAUUCUAAUUCAUUUGAUUAUUUAUAUUACGAGAAACAGCUACCAUUCGAAAGAAGAAAAAAAAAAGAAGAAGAAGGGAUCAUUGAACUAAACUCCAUACAAGUUAUGCAUUUGUGUAAUAUUUGCACCUUUCCAGGUUUUGUACUUUUUUGUCUCACCCCUCCAUAUCAGUUGGAAGAUUUCGCACUUGUGUUGCCGUAUAUUUCUUUAGACUAUUCAUAUCAGUUGGAAGAUUUCGUACUUGUGAUACCGUGCAAUUCUUUUAAACUAAUACGUAAGAGCAUUACCAUGUGCAGCACCUCCUCUUGAUCGCAGAUGCUGACAAGCUAAGCCGCUCGUGGGCAACACUCGACUUGAAUUCGGAUUGAACUAAAUUCGAACUACGUAUUUUAGGUCUCGAGUCGAAUUCGAGUUCUCUUAUAUGCUACUCGACGUGUCUAAUUAAGUAGUUCUAUUAUUUAUAUAAUAUAUUUAUUUUAAUUAUGAAAUGAUCAUUAUGAGUUUGUGUUUUUAUCAAAAUUCGAGUUUUUGUUUGAGCACUUAAACUCGAUGAUAAAACUUGAGAACAAGAUAGAGUCGAGUUCGAGUUAUAUUUAUUACCCCUAAGAGUCGACGUCGAUGUCGAAUUCAAGUAAUCGAAAAUUCACUAAAUUUUAGAUCAAACAUAGCGCUACUCGAUCUCGACUCGACUCAACUCGCGAGCCCCCUUACUCUUGAUAUUUCAUCAAUUAAUUUAUCAAUAAAAAACAAGCCCCAAUAAACACUGGUGGUUCGAUUCUUUAGUUCCCAUGCAACCGACGAAAAUAUUCAACCAAAAAUGUGGGUAGUCCAGUUCAGACAUACACACACGUUAGACAAAAAAGAUAUUAAUUGAAGAUGCAGAGUCAAGUCAAAGACGAGCAACUAUGUCAAAGAUUCGUAUGUCUGAGUUGUAUGAUCACACACAGGAAUCAUAAUUGUCACCUUUAAAAUUCUUCUUCAACAUUCAUGUUUCUUGUUUUUUAGUAGUUAGUACAGCUGGUGAUAUCGAUCCCGAUCGAGUUCAACAUUGAUCGGCAAGUUUCGAUAGACUUAAUUUACACGUCAAAUGUUGUAUUAGAACCUUGCAUGUAUGGUGAUGUUAAAACAUCCAAAGAUAGUGAAAUAUUAUUAUGCUUUUAGAAAUACUUCACUCUUGCAUGUAUAUAUAGACUGCAAUUAUUGGUAGUAAAAAUUUUUACGUUUUUUGUGAUUAUAUUUUUUUAUCUCAUAUACAUCAAAUUGUUAUGAUAUUUUUUUUAAAUUUUUACAAAAACUCCUAAAAAUAGUAAUACCCCUGUAUUAUUGCUUGUUUUAGAUAAAUAGUGGGUCAAAUUGUGGACACAAAAUGGUUCUUUUGUUUUCUUCCAAGUCUAACCUCUCUAACUUACACCUACCCCGCAAAAAAAAAAAAAAAAAAAAAAUCCUCUAUUUGAGAAGAAAAAAAAAUCACUUUG